Molecule: long non-coding RNA, 1320 nt
Filed under: Zea mays
Lineage: Eukaryota; Viridiplantae; Streptophyta; Magnoliopsida; Poales; Poaceae
Description: long non-coding RNA (ZMAY_LNC002423)
Source: RNAcentral
GCAAAGAAGGGCGUGCGUCACCACCGUCAUAGGGAUCGAACGUGACUACACCUCUGUCCAUGAAUGAGGGCCCCAGAGCAUCACUCGUCCAUGGCACAACUUCUCGGGGCGGUCGGACUCACGGGGGACCAACGGGGUGGCCAAAAUUCCUCCCCGUCGCUCAUGCACCACCGCUGACCAGACCUCGCCAUGGCUUGUGUCGCCUGCACACUGAUUGAUGGUAAGACGCAAUGCAUCGAGUUCGCCUUCUUCUCCACUUAGUGUAGCACCCAUCUGUUUAGACGGGGGAAUCCUGGUGCACCGCGUCAACAUUCUCCAGUGUGGGCGCCGUCGUCCCAAGCGCGUGCCCCACCGUGCUCGGUCGUCGUGCAGAGAAGAAGACCUCUAGCCGUUUGAUCUAAAGCUGGCAGCUGGGAUCAUAUCUGCGUACCCCUUUGUGUGUCUCAAUCCGGGUCGUUGGUGUAGAUCUGUGUGGUUCCCGUGGGAUCUCAAUUCAUUAGAUUUUGGUCGUAGAUCAUCAAUUCAACAAAUGUGAAUGCUUACAGGUUCAGGACUAGGUCACGGUUGUCUAUCUCGCGAUCAAUGGCUCAGGUAGCUUACCGGUUGGAUACAAAAGCCGAUCUAAUCCUGACCACGGGUGGGUGAUCGGACGGCUCUGGAUGGCCUAUACCCCUUCGGCCAUGUGAUUUUGCAUAAAGCCAUAAACCCUCAAGAUUCUAAUAAACCAACCUGUCGUCCCACUCCUAUUGAAACUAAUCACAGUUAGAUCCAUAAAUUUUACAAAACCACCCCUGAAAUUUAUUUUAAGCAUAAAAAGGUGUAUAAAAAUGCAUAAAAACUUAGAUAAUUCAUAUUUUGAUCGUUUUGACUCCAAUUUGACCCGUUCGAAUUAAGUUAGGUGCAUAAUAAUAUUACAUGUACAGUAUAACACUAACUUUUAUAGUUGGGUACUUAUUUUAUGUAUAGUAAAUUAAUCUAACCAAUCCAAGCAGUAUGUUAAUAAUUAUAAUCUUAAUAGAAGGUGAUCUUUAACUACGAUAUGACUUACAUUAGAGUUAAUCUUUAAUGUAUACCUCACAUGAUUUAUAAAAUCAAUCUAGGACCUAGUAUUAGUUGUUUAAUCACAUAUGCCUUCGGAAAACCAUAUCCUUAUAAGCAUAACCCCGAUAUUAGUGGUUCUCGAAUCUGCAAUCUCGUAGUAGCGUGUAGAAUAUUCUUACGCUGUGUGUUCUCAUGUUUGGUGUACUGUUAUUUUUAUGUACUCCUUGUCUAUUUGUAUGUAUUGCUACGAGUAGCAGCGAGGUCAUGUGAAACCCAAAG